RNAcentral lists this long non-coding RNA (1348 nucleotides) under Homo sapiens (human). RNAcentral describes it as "HSALNT0349035". Lineage: Eukaryota; Metazoa; Chordata; Mammalia; Primates; Hominidae. The record is from RNAcentral.
CUUGGAGUUCAUUUCUGUUCCUCUCUCUUUCUGGGGAGCGUCUGCUAGGAAUAAUGGAAUAAUGAGGAAAGAGAGGUCAGAGACGAGAAGGUGAUGAUGUUUGACUGAAGGAGAAUAAAGAGCAAAUAAACUUCAGAGUAGAGUGGGCCCAUUCCAAGAUGAUCUUUUGGAAGAGGACCAAACCCAGAGGCAUGCACUCAGUUGUGCCAGAAUCAUCUUUCACAUUCUACAGAAGUCACAGAAGCCAACACACAACUCCAGAGUUAAACAUAUUAAACCCCUGUCAUCAGAGAGAACUUUCAAAAAAUCUUGAGAUGGGACCCAUUGGCUCAGACUGAGUCAGAUGUCUACCCUUGGACCAAUCAACUGUGGUCUCUGUGAAUGUAGGCUACUAUUAUUGCCCUAUUUGAGUUUUCUUCCCACUCAUGAGCCAAUCAACUCUAGACAGAAAAGGGAAUGAUCUGAAGCUUGGAAGUUCUCACAGGAACCCUAUAAAUGAAGAAGAGGACAGGACAUGUUUUAAGACAAAGAAAAACGCUAUGCAACCAAAAUACAUCUACUACAAUAACAGUGAUUAUUAAAAAGUCAUUUAAUUUCUCUAAGCCUCAAUUUUCUCUUCUCUAAAAGUGUAUGAAUUGUCUAUUGCUAUGGAUAUGUAUCAAAUAAGAUACUUUAAAAGUUUUAAAUGACAAACUUCUAUACAGUUCUAAAAGGUUGCUCUGAUUAUUACACUGGUGUCACCAAAGUGGUUUCUAGAUUCUAUUUCUGCAGAGCUUUCAUUUGUAAAAUUGGAAUGAUUUUCUCUACUUUUUAUGGUUAUGGACUAAUUAAAGAGAAAUAUCUACCAUUUAUUUAUUGAUGGUUUAAUAUAUAUUAUGGUAGGAGGUUUGCACAUAUUUCCUUUUUUAAUUUUCACCACAGUCCUAUAAACUAGAUAGUCUUACCAAGCAUACUGUAAUGUAAACAGGUUAAGAUGAUUAAGUUCCUAACAUGAAUUAGUGUCAGAGAGAGGAUUUAAAUCAGGUCUGAGUGAUUCCGUGAUUCCAAAGGCAAGGUGGGGAUUUUAAAGAGCCAUACAAUAACACUCUUAUGUGUUAUAAUUUUAUUGUUCAUUUUUAUAAUUCAAUUAUAAUUGGUUUAUUUCUGAGCUAGUUUCCUUAAAAUUUUUAAUAUUUUGCCAUUACAUUUUUAAUGACCUAGUGAUUAUAUUAAAAAUCCUAUCUUUUAUGAAGAUAUAAUGAUGCCAUACUGUGGAUUUGCCAAGUGAUGCUCUACUACUUGUUGGGAGAAAUUAAAAUUUUAAUUCUGAAUGAGAAGCUUGAUAUUUGUAAACAAUUGCAAGAAGAGA